Molecule: long non-coding RNA, 284 nt
Organism: Culex pipiens pallens (northern house mosquito)
Lineage: Eukaryota; Metazoa; Arthropoda; Insecta; Diptera; Culicidae
Exons: 3
Source: RefSeq, a predicted model, not a curated record
AGCAAAUGUCAAGAGGUUUGGGUCGAUUGAUCGGUGAUUGACGAUGUGUGGGUUGGAUGAGCAAAAGUGGUAGGCACGAUGUAGGAGCGAUUGUUUAAAGAUAUUAACUAUAUUAAACAAUCAAUUUGAGCGCUACGUCAGGCCAUAAUCGGUCAAGUACGAGUUUAAUCUGCUGGCAUUGGUUGGAGAAGGAUAAGCAGAUUUGAAGACUAAUCUUUUAGCAAUAUGAACAUCAAUUAAACGGUGUUUUCGCUCAACGGAACUUCAAUAUCCUCCCCAACAAU